GCUAUUGAGGAGGUUUGCAGUAAAGAUAAGAUGCUCAAAGUAAAUGCAAACCGAGAUUUAGAGUGGUUCGGUCAAUCUUGACCUACUCCACUUUUGGCUUCCUCCAUCGACGAGGUCACCGACGUCAACUAGAGGCCUUCCUUCAAUAGGCGAAGGCCAACCACCCUUUUACAGUUUCACUCCUUUUGACGGGCUUAGGAGACAACCCUUACAGAAUUUUCUCUCCUCUCUUUACAACUCAAAACUU
This 247-nucleotide long non-coding RNA is filed under the name Musa acuminata (dwarf banana). RNAcentral describes it as "long non-coding RNA (MACU_LNC008902)". The record is from RNAcentral. Lineage: Eukaryota; Viridiplantae; Streptophyta; Magnoliopsida; Zingiberales; Musaceae.